UAGUUCUAAAACGUUAUUAACUCAAAAAAAUAUACUUUUGUGAAACCAUUUCCGCCGCCAACACAAACCCUAGUUCUAUCCUUCUCCACGCCGCGAUAACUCCAAAUCGGUCGUUCUCAGGUGGUGGAUGGCGGAAAGAAACCCACAUCUCUACAAAUCGCCGACGCCUCAACCUCCACGCCGGUCAGUGACGGCGAUGAAACCCUAAUUCCUUUACCUUCUACCCGUCUUCACCGUUGAAAACGGAGAAAUAGAGGAGUUUGGCGGUGCGUACAACUCCAUUAUCGAAAUCUGUGGCUUCUAAACAGUGAGGCAGAGGGGUUGAUUUCAUCGAAACCCUAUGAAAAUCGCUGACUUUGAAACAUACCAAAUCGGCAACAAAAUUCCUCUACCAAAUCAAAAUAAGGUACAGAUCUAAAAUAAUUCUAACACCUGCGUCAAAUACAGAAUCAGUCACCAACACCAAACCCUAACUCUUCCCACAUCGACGAACACAAACGGCGACACCAUGACCCCAUCACACUCCCACACGCCGACGACGAAAUCCGCGACGCGGUGUGUUAGGGACCUAAAUCCCUAACGAUCUGAUAAAAUCGGACAAUAACAAGAUAAAGAUAAAGAUAAAGAUAAUCCGACGCCCGUGAGGGUCGGCGGAGAUAAGGAUAUGUGUGGCUGUGCGCGGGUUCCAACCCGUCGGGCAACGGCUACAGAUCAGAUAUACGUUUCGGCUGUGCGCGAAGACCUUCCGUCGGGCAGCAGGUAGCGUAAGAACUAUGGAUUCAAAGCAUUUCGCCAGGCAUUUGGCCAAAAUAAUAUAUUCAUUGAUUCAUUGUUUGGAUGAUCUCCAUUAUGAAAAUAGUCCUACAUAUUUAUAAUAUGGGGAGAUACAAAAAGAUAUCCUAUCAUCUCCUAAAAUAAAUGCAUCAAAUCUAAUCUAAUCUUAACCAAUAUAUUAUAAAGAUACUAAGUAAUAAUAAUGAGAAAUAAAGAAUAUAGGUCUCGUAUCAACUCCCCCACGGUUGAAAUCCACCUUGUCCUCAAGGUGGAAACCACAACACCUUGAAGCAGCAAAGAGAGUUGAAAGCACACAUUUUGGUGAUGUAUCUCCUCCUGGAUUAAACACAUAAGUCUGCCCUUCUUUUUUCAAUAUUUUUUGGCUGAUUGCACUCUUCUUCGUAACCAAUUAUGUAGUCUUGACUCCAACGUCACCCUCAAAUAACCUUCUUUUUUCUUCCAUAUCCACUUCAAGGUCGUGCUUUUGUAUCCCAAAUGCAGGCUUGUGCUCCUCAACAAGGCAUUGAAUCUCCAUUUUCUCGUUUGUGAACUAGCUCGAAGAGCUUUAGCUUUAGUCUCUUUCUCGAUCAGCUUGGGAAAAUUUUUAUUGACCUCUUCUUCUCUUUUGGCAGUAGAGUCACUCACUUUCUCUUGUUGAUUCCACACACUAUUAAGUUCUGUCAACUUAUCCUCCCUCUUUUCUUCACCAUUAUGCAAAUGCGUUUCCCACUCCUCUUUCCUUGAGCUUGAUACACCAGCCAGUGGAUGAUGAGUAGAGGCCAAGAAUGGAGCUGACACGGGCAGCGAUUGCAACGGCUGACAAGCUCUCGGUGCAGCGUAGAG
This is a long non-coding RNA of Salvia hispanica, 1617 nucleotides long. RefSeq lists it as uncharacterized. The record is from RefSeq and is a predicted model, not a curated record. NCBI's taxonomy places the organism in Eukaryota, Viridiplantae, Streptophyta, Magnoliopsida, Lamiales, Lamiaceae.